Paramuricea clavata is the source of this 167-nucleotide non-coding RNA. Lineage: Eukaryota; Metazoa; Cnidaria; Anthozoa; Malacalcyonacea; Plexauridae. The record is from the annotation of a GenBank genome assembly.
ACAACAAAAUUGCUGUAACUUGCAACAAAAUCUGAUUUCAACGCAUGUUAAGUAGAAAUGUCGACACAUGUUGCCUUGUGAUUUGUAAUGUAUGUGUAAACAUUUUUAAUUAAUUAAUUAACAUGCGUUGAAAUCAGAUUUUGUUGCAAGUUGCAGCAAUUUUGUUG